This 507-nucleotide ribosomal RNA is filed under the name uncultured bacterium. RNAcentral's name for it is "partial 16S ribosomal RNA". It matches the Rfam family "Bacterial small subunit ribosomal RNA", at positions 899 to 1397 of the family's 1533-position model. The record is from RNAcentral.
ACUCAAAGGAAUUGACGGGGGCCCGCACAAGCGGUGGAGCAUGUGGAUUAAUACGUCACUAACCGUAGAACCUUACCCAGGCUUGACAUCCCGGGAACCUCUCUGAAAGGAGGGGGUGCCCUUCGGGGAGCCCGGAGACAGGUGUUGCAUGGCUGUCGUCAGCUCGUGUCGUGAGAUGUUGGGUUAAGUCCCGCAACGAGCGCAACCCUCACCGCCUGUUGCCAGCACGGACCUGUCCGGUUGGGCACUCUGGCGGAACUGCCCGGGCAACCGGGAGGAAGGUGAGGAUGACGUCAAGUCAGCAUGGCCCGUACGCCUGGGGCUUCACACAUGCUACAAUGGCCGGUACAGAGGGCACCGAGGCCGUGAGGCGGAGGCAAUCCCAAAAAGCCGGUCCCAGUUCGGAUCGCAGGCUGCAACUCGCCUGCGUGAAGGCGGAAUCGCUAGUAACCGCCGGUCAGCUAAACGGCGGUGAAUACGUUCCCGGGCCUUGUACACACCGCCCGU